Molecule: ribosomal RNA, 253 nt
Filed under: uncultured bacterium
Lineage: Bacteria
Also listed under: 1 other name
Description: partial 16S ribosomal RNA
Rfam family: Bacterial small subunit ribosomal RNA
Source: RNAcentral
UACGUAGGGUGCGAGCGUUAAUCGGAAUUACUGGGCGUAAAGCGUGCGCAGGCGGCUUGCCAAGUCAGAUGUGAAAGCCCCGGGCUCAACCCGGGAAUGGCGUUUGAAACUGGCAGGCUAGAGUUUGGCAGAGGGGGGUGGAAUUCCACGUGUAGCAGUGAAAUGCGUAGAGAUGUGGAGGAACACCGAUGGCGAAGGCAGCCCCCUGGGCCAAAACUGACGCUCAGGCACGAAAGCGUGGGGAGCAAACAGG